AAACAUUCAUCCAUCCGUUCAUCCAACCCACCAGCUCACCAAACCCUAGGCUUUGCUCCUCACGUACCAGCACCACCUCCUUUGUUGUGUCUUCCUCCUCCCCCCGAAUCCCAGAUCCACCCAACCAGCCGGCGGCGGCCAACCCCCACCGAUGACCUAUUGGCCUUCGACCUCUGCCCCACUCCCGGCACACCCAACCCUCUCCUCUCCCCAGCCACCGAGUCCAACCUCCACAUCUCUAACCCGCACCCGAAACUCUAGCUCGUGCACAUGGCGACGAGGCCAGCCCGCCGCCGCUGCCAACGAGGAGGAGGAGCGAGAUGCCCGACCUGCCGUGCGACGGGGACGUGGUGUGCAUGGUGUGCCGCGCGGCGGCGCCGCCGGAGGUGGAGCUGCUGUGGUGCGCGACCUGCGCGACGCCGUGGCACUCCCCGUGCCUCUCGAAGCCCCCCGCACUCACCAAUGCGGCCGGCUGGGCCUGCCCCGACUGCAGCGGCGAGGGCGCGUCCCACUUGUCCGCCCCGGCGCCUGCCCCCACCGCAGCCCCCGGGGGCGCCGGCGGCGGGAGCGGCCUCCUCGCCACCAUCCGCGAGAUCGAGGCUGACGCCACCCUCUCCGAGCAGGACAAGGCGCGGCGCCGCCAGGAGCUGCUCGACGGGAAUAGCGCCGCCGCCGGCGGUGGGGACGACCACGACAACGAGGAACAGGACGAAGACGACGAGGACAACGCGCUCGAGAUCGGCGGCAAGAACUUCAGCUCCGUCUUCUGCAUGAAGCUCCCCGAUCGCCCUGUCACCAUGAGCACUGCUCAAUCCCCCCAUCCCCUCCCGUGUUCUCCGCCGUCAGUUUUGAUCAAAUUAA
Molecule: RNA transcript, 861 nt
Organism: Hordeum vulgare subsp. vulgare (domesticated barley)
Lineage: Eukaryota; Viridiplantae; Streptophyta; Magnoliopsida; Poales; Poaceae
Gene name: E3 ubiquitin-protein ligase ORTHRUS 2-like
Exons: 1
Source: RefSeq, a predicted model, not a curated record